GUAGGGUGCGAGCGUUAAUCGGAAUUACUGGGCGUAAAGCGUGCGCAGGCGGUUCGUUAUGUCCGAUGUGAAAGCCCCGAGCUCAACUUGGGAAUGGCAUUGGAAACUGGCGGGCUGGAGUGUGGCAGAGGGGGGUGGAAUUCCACGUGUAGCAGUGAAAUGCGUAGAGAUGUGGAGGAACACCGAUGGCGAAGGCAGCCCCCUGGGCCAACACUGACGCUCAGGCACGAAAGCGUGGGGAGCAAACAGGAUUAGAUACCCUGGUAGUCCACGCCCUAAACGAUGUCAACUGGGUGUUGGGGAAGCGAUUCCUUGGUACCGUAGCUAACGCGUGAAGUUGACCGCCUGGGGAGUACGGCCGCAAGGUUA
Molecule: ribosomal RNA, 369 nt
Filed under: uncultured bacterium
Lineage: Bacteria
Description: bacterial SSU rRNA
Rfam family: Bacterial small subunit ribosomal RNA
Source: RNAcentral